This 468-nucleotide ribosomal RNA is filed under the name uncultured bacterium. RNAcentral describes it as "partial 16S ribosomal RNA". It matches the Rfam family "Bacterial small subunit ribosomal RNA", at positions 28 to 507 of the family's 1533-position model. The record is from RNAcentral.
GACGAACGCUGGCGGCGUGCUUAACACAUGCAAGUCGAACGGAAAGGCGCUGCUUUUGUGGGGUGCUCGAGAGGCGCACGGGUGAGUAACACGUGAGUAUACUGCCCUUGUAUUUGGGAUAUAUUUAGGGGAAUGGGGAUAUUAUCGGGUAGGAUAUCUUGCUGCGUGGGGGGGAUUGGAGAGAUUCGGCGGUUGGGGAUGGACUCGCGGCUUAUCAGCUAGUUGGGGAGGUUGUGGCUGACAAGGUUUUUGAAGGGUAGCCGGCCUGGGAGGGUGACCGGCCUCAUUGGGACUGAGAUACGGCCCAGACUCGUACGUGAGGCAGUAGUGGGGAAUCUUGCACAAUGGGCGCAAGUCAGAUGCAGAAGCGCCGCGUGCGUGAUGACGUCCUUCGAGUUGUGAACCGCUGUCGCCUGUGCCGAGGCCUGAGUGACGGUAACGGGUAAAGAAGCACCGGCUAACUACGUG